RNAcentral lists this non-coding RNA (45 nucleotides) under Schistosoma mattheei. Lineage: Eukaryota; Metazoa; Platyhelminthes; Trematoda; Strigeidida; Schistosomatidae. The record is from RNAcentral.
AUCCAGAUGAUGAGUUCAAAAUAAAACGAAAUGUGCGUCCUCGAU